CCUACGGGAGGCUGCAGUGAGGAAUAUUGGUCAAUGGUCGGGAGACUGAACCAGCCAAGCCGCGUGAGGGAUGAAGGUACAGAGUAUCGUAAACCUCUUUUGUCAGGGAACAAAGGCGGGGACGUGUCCCCGUAUGAGUGUACCUGAAGAAAAAGCAUCGGCUAACUCCGUGCCAGCAGCCGCGGUUAUACGGAGGAUGCGAGCGUUAUCCGGAUUUAUUGGGUUUAAAGGGAGCGUAGGCCGCAUGUCAAGCGUGCUGUGAAAUGUCCGGGCUCAACCCGGGCCUUGCAGCGGAAACUGGCGGGCUUGAGUCCGCGGGAAGCAGGCGGAAUUCGUCGUGUAGCGGUGAAAUGCUUAGAUAUGACGAAGAACCCCGAUUGCGAAGGCAGCUUGCUGCAGCGGAACUGACGCUGAUGCUCGAAAGCGUGGGUAUCGAACAGGAUUAGAUACCCGUGUAGUC
This 460-nucleotide ribosomal RNA is filed under the name uncultured bacterium. RNAcentral's name for it is "partial 16S ribosomal RNA". It matches the Rfam family "Bacterial small subunit ribosomal RNA", at positions 338 to 795 of the family's 1533-position model. The record is from RNAcentral.